GUUUAGGGUCAUGGGUCUUGCCCCAGAUCACAAAAUAACUGUCUUUACUUCACUAUACAACGGGUUGAUCAAGGCACACUUCAUGUUUCCCCAGAAGCCUGACUGUGUGACAAUUGCACAGAAAAAUUAGGAGAAUAACGUUCGGGCAGAUGAGCGCUAUCGAGACGCCAUCAAAGCCCUCAAAUCACAGAGACAGAAAGAGGAGGAACAAAAUCGUCUUAUUGAGGCUAGGAAGAAGGCCACCUCCCACCCCUUCCGCCCAACCCAAUUGAGAAUAUUGAGUCAAGGAAGAUACCUGGAGUGAAGAAAUUGGACGUGGAUGCCUUCUCUGUGACCCACUAUCACAUGCCAGAGACUACAGUGGACAGGGAAGUUGACACAGCACAGGCAUGGGAGGUGGCAAAGGAGGAGGUGUGGUGCCUGCAGGAGCUAGGACAGGAGGAGCUUAGGGGCAACCACGUGCUGAGGAGGGAACGGCUCACACAGGACCGAGAGCGCCUCCUGGUGGAGCUGGAGCACAUGCAUCAGACAGACCUGUUGAGGCGAAGGCAUUUGAUGACUCAGAUGCCUGCCCAGAUCUUCCAGCUUCUCUCCAAGAGACAGGAGAUGAGGGAGGACUGGCAGAGGGACAUGGAGUUCACCUUUGAGGACAUGUACACUGGAGAGAGGAGCAAAUCGGGAUGAAUUUUUCAGUGCUCUACUCUGGCCAUGAGUACACAAUUUGUUGGUCUUGCCUUGGUGCAUAGAUAAGUUGUUUUACUUGAUUGAAAUGGAGAGAUUUACCUUGAUUGAAAUGGAGAGAUUUACCCUAUCCUAGACAGUAGUGUGGACACAUCGUUAUGACACCUAAUUACCAUUAUUACGUUGGCAUGGAGUUUGUCUAUUUGUCUAAUUAAACCUGUACUGCUCUCUUGCCUGCAGGAGUGAAAUGUGACCUGGUACUGCAGCUGGUCCCAGAGCCUCUCCCAGCUGUGUCCACUGGCAGCCAGGAUGUAGACCUAGACCUGGAGGAGGCCACUCCUGACCUUACACCAUCGGCUGGGGCAGAGGAACAACUGGCUGAAGAACCAUCCAGGCCUCUAGGUGGUGCUCCCAGAAAGGCCUUGAAGAAACUACUGAGCCGCGUCAGGUCACAGAGAGACCAGUGGGGCUACUGGAGGCUGGUUGACCCCACGUCUGACUGCCAAACUAUUCAGACAGCAGAGUUCUACACGACUUCAGAUGGUACGACUAGUCAGGUUUUCUGGCCAGCGAAAAGCGGGGCCGACCGUUAACCACUAGUCCCAGACUCUCUGACCCCUCUCAGCCAGCCCAAGAGGAGUACAACAGAGGAGUACAUAGUAGCUGGUACCCUGCUCCAUCCUGAUAAACAAGCCAUCAAGAUCCACACAUUUGAAACCGAGAGGAAGUGAAGGGAGGAGGAGCCGGAGAGGCAGAAGCAGGAGCAGAUAGCCCUGCUACAGGAUUUAGGGGAGAAGAAGAUCAGGCUGGAGCUGCUGCUACUACUGCAGGAGGCCCGGGAAGAGAGAGCGCAGCUGCAGACGGCCAUGGCCCAAGACACUGCUGCUGCAUCUGGACCACCGAAAACACCAGCCCAGGACGUCAGCCCUGCUGCACCAUCUCCUGAGGUAGGUGGAUGUGGGUGGGAUUGUGUGGAUGUAUCUGGGUCAUGAUGUAAAUCAAUAAUAGCCUGAAUUGAAGUUUUUAAUAUAUUUCAUGAUGGUUUCUACACUUGAACUCUGUGUGUGACUGUUUCCACAUGUAAUAGCGACACUGACUUGUUCUGUGGUUGUCCCUGUGCAGUCUACUAUACACUCAGCUGCUGAGGAUGACCACACCAGGAGAAUCAGAGUAUCAGCAGCAUCUCGUAGGGUGGCAGGUAGCCUUGCGGUUAGUGUUGGGCCAGUAACCAAAGGGUCGCUGGUUAGAAUACCCGAGCCGACAAGGUGAAAAAUCUGUCUAUGCCCUUGAACAAGGCACUGAACGCUAAUUUGCUGUGGCUGACCUUGUAAAACCACACAUCUCACUGUACCUAUCUAUUGUAUGUAACAAUGAAAUUAACAUAUUCUGUUAUGGUUGUUUUUGGGAAUAACCCUCCCCACCCCCCAUAUUUUUCAAUGUUUCCAUUUCUUAUGCUUCAUAAGCAGUCAGUGGAAGAGACUCGCCGGCGUCUGGAAGAGUACCAACACACGCUAAGAAACCGCUAUUCUGGUAAAACUACGGCAAAAUGUCUACCUCCUGGUACCAAAGCCCGUCCUCUACCACACUUUAAAGGAGGAAUCAUUCCACCAGUAGUGCCACUAGAACUCCCCUCUGUCUCUGCCCUUCUCCCCUGUCUCCCUGUAGCACUUAGUACCCACUCUAGAGCUUACACUCCUCUGGACCUCCCCACACCCUCCAUCUUGGCUCAAACUCUCUUCCUUCCUGGCACAACAGUCUGCUCGCAUAUCAACUCCAGGGCCUCUCCAGUGCAGCUAGAACACACCGCUAAGAGACCAAAGAGCUGGUUUUUCUGCUUGGCUUCCGGACAAUGUGUUUAGUAGGGUCCCAGAGGACAUCCCUGAGAGGCUACUUUCCCCCUCUACCUCGUUGGAUCUGCAGACCACAUCCUGUUUCCCUCCACUCUACGCCACACAUCCCACUCCCAUCAAAAACUGACUCCAUCCCAGCCAUCAGCCCAACCCUUUCAGAAGAGUCAGCUACUCUCCCUGGGGUGGCCCCGGUGAAGCCUGGGCCUAUCCUGCGGGCCUCAGCCAGGUCUGUGGAAGAGGUGGAGAGGCAGAGGCAGGAGAUACGCGAGGCCCAGUGUUGGGUGGAGGCCCAGAGGGAGCAGGAGGAAAAACGGAGAUGGCUGGAGGAAGAGCAGAGGAGGAGACAGAGGGAGGUGUUACAGGCACUGCUCACUGCUGACGACUCCCCCAGCCUGGUCCAGAGAUCGCGGAUGGUUUUGGGUCAGAGCGUGUCCAUCGGAUGGCAGCUCUCCUGAGGGCCAUCGAGGAGUCCAAUGGGCAAACAUCAUCUGUAGAAGCUAAUCCGAGCCAAGACAACACACUCAAUGUCCAGAGUUCACACCCAGACAGACCCGCCCCUCACCAACUUUCCCCACCACCACCCCCGAGCAGCCAAACCCCCGGUGGCCCGCGCCAGGCUGGCCGUCAUGGAGAUGACAGAGCAGCAUGAGCUCAGUGCCAUCCAGGAGGUGGAGACGCCAGCCAACACCAGCCUGAUCACAGGUCGGUCAGCCAGCCACACCCUCAGGGGGCACCAUACACUACACCAAACGUGGCGGUGGUCAGCUCUGGUAACCACUUGUAUACAUUCUUCAUAAACAAGCGUGUAUCUCUAACCAGCUACUAUGUGCUGUGUCCAGAAGGGAGUGUGAGGCUGUCUUGUAUUGAAAGGGCAUUCCCAGAAGAACAGGACCACUUGGCCCACUCUGAGAGAGGUCACUCCAGCACCUUUGUGUUCAGUGCAGGGGAACACACAGCUGGGAGUGAGACAUUAAACCUGGUCUGGUAGAUCCAGCAAGCUAUCCUGGAGAGAGAGAGAGAGAUUACAGCUGGAGGCUGGUGCCUCUCCUGAACCUGAUCCCACCCCGGUCUGCCCAGAACAGUCUCAACACUCCUCUGAGUUUGGGAGAGGUGUCCCUGGAAAAUCUCCUGAG
This is a non-coding RNA of Oncorhynchus mykiss (rainbow trout), 3664 nucleotides long. The record is from RefSeq and is a predicted model, not a curated record. Lineage: Eukaryota; Metazoa; Chordata; Actinopteri; Salmoniformes; Salmonidae.